RNAcentral lists this transfer RNA (74 nucleotides) under Oryza longistaminata (longstamen rice). RNAcentral's name for it is "tRNA tRNA-Val". It matches the Rfam family "tRNA". Rfam says of the family: Transfer RNA (tRNA) molecules are approximately 80 nucleotides in length. Their secondary structure includes four short double-helical elements and three loops (D, anti-codon, and T loops). The record is from RNAcentral. Lineage: Eukaryota; Viridiplantae; Streptophyta; Magnoliopsida; Poales; Poaceae.
GGUUUCGUGGUGUAGUUGGUUAUCACGUCAGUCUGACACACUGAAGGUCUCCGGAUCGAGUCCGGGCGAAGCCA